UACGUAGGGGGCAAGCGUUGUCCGGAUUUAUUGGGCGUAAAGAGCGUGUAGGCGGCCAGACAGGUCUGCUGUGAAAACUCGAGGCUCAACCUCGAGACGCCGGUGGAGACCGUUUGGCUAGAGUCCGGAAGAGGAGAGUGGAAUUCCUGGUGUAGCGGUGAAAUGCGCAGAUAUCAGGAAGAACACCCGUGGCUAAGGCGGCUCUCUAGUACGGUACUGACGCUGAGACGCGAAAGCGUGGGGAGCGAACAGG
RNAcentral lists this ribosomal RNA (253 nucleotides) under uncultured bacterium. RNAcentral's name for it is "partial 16S ribosomal RNA". It matches the Rfam family "Bacterial small subunit ribosomal RNA", at positions 524 to 776 of the family's 1533-position model. The record is from RNAcentral.